RNAcentral lists this long non-coding RNA (3539 nucleotides) under Citrus x clementina. RNAcentral's name for it is "Citrus clementina (C. clementina) long non-coding RNA (CCLE_LNC005194)". Lineage: Eukaryota; Viridiplantae; Streptophyta; Magnoliopsida; Sapindales; Rutaceae. The record is from RNAcentral.
AAUAAAUAGAGGCCUCAUAAAAAGAUUUCACAUAAGGCCUUUCAAACUCUAAAACCGGCCCGGAAUACACGUUCCUUUUGAUCUUUCACAUUAUAAGGGAGAGGUAAAUUAGUUCAAUUUUAGAGAGUAAGACUCGAAUUUCGGUGAUUACAAAUAUUUGAAAAUCAUUCAAUCAGAUUCUUGAGCGUGUAAUAGGAAGCAUCAUGUUACCUUAAUAUAUGCAGUACAACUAUCAUAGACUGAAUAUUAUAAAAUUUUGACCUUUUUAUUUUGAUUGCAUGGUUACUUACUCAUCGUGCUUUUGAGUUCUAUCCAAAUCGGAUAAAUUUGAGCCACUUGGGCUUAUAGCCCAAUGGUGAAUUAUUACCCUCAAAGUUAAAUAUGAUUAUGAGGAUAAUGGUUCGAGUCCCUACGGACUCAACCUCCCUCAAUUAAAUAUAAUUAUGUGGAAAGUACUUACAACAUCUUUUUUCCUUGUAAAAUGCGAAUAGAGUAGAGACAUUCCUCCUUCGUGAGGGUAUUUGAUUGGGUAUAUACUUCGUAGACUAAAAAUAUAAUAAUGUAAGUCUCAUGUAUAUAUAUAUGAUUAUAAAUAUCAGUAUAAUAACUUACUGUCAUAACAGUUGUAUAUAUUUCUCUGUGUAUUACGGUCUCAUGUAUAUAUAUAUGAUUAUAAAUAUUAAUAUAAUAAUUUACUGUUAUAACAAUUAUAUAUAUUUUUCUGUGUAUUACAGUAAUAUGAUACUUAAUCAGUUAAAAAAAAAUCGGAUAAAUUUGUCUGGAAAAUCGAAGAAAGCUCUGAAACAGUCUUAUUAUGCCUCUGAAAUUCGUUUAUAAAAUUAUUAAAAGAAAAACUGCUCUGAGACAGUGUCAGGGUGCCUGCGCCUAUGCAAUGUGAUGGGCUGUACGUAGACUGUCUAGUGUGUAUAGGCACAAUCUUAUCCGCUCAAAACGAAUGCCAAUCAACAAUUUGUCUGAGACAUCAGACAUACAACAAGAAUAGUUGCCGCCAAGGACCAGACCUACUAAAAGAUCUUGUGCCCUUAAUUUGUAAUUGAAAAAAAAAAUAUAUAUAUAUAUAUAUAUAUAUAAACAGAUAAGGUACUGAUAAAUUAUUGAUAAAAAUAAUUUAUACAUCCGGUCUAAUUUAUCGUAUUAUCAAAUGAGUAAAUCAAUAUUAGAUAUGUUUUAACAUUGAUCACGUCAGUAUUUGAUUUUAUUCCUAUAUUAUAAUAUCAGAAACCUUUUUAACAUUUAAGUUUUUAUGAAGACUCAAAUUUUUUUUUUUAAAUGUGAGUGAGGUAUAUAUUUUUUUAAAUAUUAGUGAAUUAGAUUUUUUGAAUUCAUCUAGAUAGAUUUUUGGGUUGCAUUAUAAAUGAACAUAUUUAAAUUCUCAAUCAACCUCAGAAACGUCAGAAUUUAAAUCAAGCACUGGAGCGGAACUGUGCUUAAAUUUUCAUAAUCUCAUGCGAAUGUUUAUAAAACUUAACUCAACAUUGAAGUAAUUAAGUAAUUAAGUUAUAAAUAUUAGUGCUUAAAUUUUUUGAACACUGUUGCUCCUUACUAAUUUUGUAAUUAAGUAAUUAAGUUCUUUUCGCAUUCGUAUAAGCGAGUUUUAUAUAAUUUUUAUAAUGUUAAAUUAUUUAUUAAUUAGGAACACAACAAUACAACAAGAGAAAGAGAGAGCAAAUAAGAGAUACAUUAGUUUAGAGAAUAAUUUUGUUCAUUCUUAAGUAUAUAUAAAUAAGGGAUGAGUUCUCCUUCUAUGAUCACAUAAUCAUACAAAUGAAAUAAAUGAAUAAUAAUUUAAUGGAUACAUCAUUAGUUGUAAGUUUUUAUAAAAAAAAUGAAGAUUUAUUCAAAAAUGAAGAGUUGUUCCGUUGGAAUAGAUAAAAAAAUUACUUUAACGAACAUCCACAUAAAUUAUAUUUAUAAUCUAUUCACAUUAGCAAUUUAACAUGCAUCGUAUCUUAAAACCUAACUAUUUUUUUAUUUUUUGGUUGUUUUGACUUAGUUUUGAUCACUCUUGCCCUUUAGUCUCAAGAACAAAAAUAGAUAAAGUAUGGUUCAGCUAUGAUGCCACAGUUGUAUGAUACCACAACUUAAUCCAGCCAUUGAAUUCAGCUUUGGUGACAACUGUGGACUAGAUCUAAUGAUUGAAUCUAGAUGUAGUACCAUACAACUGUGGUACCAUAGCUUUGCUCGAUAAAGUGACCAUAUUUUAUCAUCAUUAUAGCUACAUCUCCGUCAGGGCCUUAACUGAGACCGAUUUAAUUUUUAAUUUAUGUCUUCCAAAAAGAUGGUCACAUGGUCAAACUACAUAGAGAAAUAGGGGUUUGUAAAUUAUAUUAAAAAAUAAAAAUUAUCAUGUUUAAAUAUGAAUAUAAUGGAAGGUACGUUCAAAAUGUCAAAUAAUGUUAGGUAGUCAAAUUUCCAAAUUUCUAAUAUUAUGUAGCUUUGAAAACAAUGGUGAGAACUAGGAAUGGCAAAAUGCCGGGUCGGGCUCGGGCUUGGUCAAGUCCUACCCGACCCGAUAAAAAAAAAUUUGAAACCCAACCCUAAAAAAGCACGAACACUAUUUAGUUAGGGUCGGGCCGAGCCUAACCCGAAUCGGGCCAACAUCGGGUCGGGCCCAACCCGACCCUACCGAAAUAGUUAACCCCACAAUUCAAUUCCCAUUUCCCACCACCAUUUCAACCAAUUCGGCAAUUACUCAACCAUUUCAAACACAAUUUAAUCCACUUUCCACAACCAUUUCAACCAAUUCCACAACUAUUUCAACCCCACACACAAAUCAAUUCCAAAAUCCAACAUGAAAAACACACAAUGCAAUUAAAUUAAAAAUACACAAUGGAAUUCCACAAUCAUUUUACCCAUACACAAUUCAAUUCAACAACCCAACAUAAAAAAUAAAAAAUAAAAAACUCAUGUCUUAUAUAAAUAAAAACACAAUACAAUUAAAUUAAAAACACACAAUGUAAUUCCACAACUAUUUUAGUCAUACACAAUUCAAUUCAACAACCCAACAAAAAAAAAAAAAAAACUCAUGUCUUAUACAAAUAAAAAUACAAUGCAAUUAAAUUCAAAACACACAAUGUGUGAUGUUGUGAGGAUGUGUUGUGUGCGUGUGUUAACUUGUGUUAGUUUUUUUUUUUUAAAUAGGGUCGGGUCGGCAUUAAGCCCGACCUUGACCCUAAAUUUAUUUGGGCCUUAAAAUCUUAGCCCUAACCCGACUCUAAACUUGAAAAUUCGGCCAAAGCCCUAAAAAUUAGGGUCGGGUCAAUCGGGCCAAAAAUAGGGUCGGACUAAAUUGCCAAGUCUAGUGAGAACCAGCGAUAAAGUUUGGGGUCAGGGAUUGGCAUAUCAAGGCUUAGGGUACUGCCAUGUGGAUGGUUGAAAAUCGGCACGAAAUUGUUGUAUCAAUUACUGUGGAGACUCACCCUUAGUUGCAAGGGUGUUUGCCGAUCGAAUUAGGUGGAUUCAACAUUAAUUUAUAUCUGAAUUAUAAUUUUACAUAUUGUAAAUUUUUUAUUUAAUUU